UUCAUGGAGAGUUUGAUCCUGGCUCAGGACGAACGCUGGCGGCGUGCCUAAUACAUGCAAGUCGAGCGGACCGACGGGAGCUUGCUCCCUUAGGUCAGCGGCGGACGGGUGAGUAACACGUGGGUAACCUGCCUGUAAGACUGGGAUAACUCCGGGAAACCGGGGCUAAUACCGGAUGCUUGAUUGAACCGCAUGGUUCAAUCAUAAAAGGUGGCUUUUAGCUACCACUUACAGAUGGACCCGCGGCGCAUUAGCUAGUUGGUGAGGUAACGGCUCACCAAGGCGACGAUGCGUAGCCGACCUGAGAGGGUGAUCGGCCACACUGGGACUGAGACACGGCCCAGACUCCUACGGGAGGCAGCAGUAGGGAAUCUUCCGCAAUGGACGAAAGUCUGA
RNAcentral lists this ribosomal RNA (396 nucleotides) under Bacillus licheniformis. RNAcentral describes it as "bacterial SSU rRNA". It matches the Rfam family "Bacterial small subunit ribosomal RNA", at positions 1 to 386 of the family's 1533-position model. The record is from RNAcentral. Lineage: Bacteria; Bacillati; Bacillota; Bacilli; Caryophanales; Bacillaceae.